CUCUACAGCCAUGCCACCCUGAACACUCCCGAUCCCAUCUGAUCUCGGAAGCUAAGCAGGGUCGGGCCUGGUUAAUACUUGGAUGGGAGGCCACCUAGGAAGACCAGGUGCAUUAAAAA
This 119-nucleotide ribosomal RNA is filed under the name Pteropus alecto (black flying fox). Lineage: Eukaryota; Metazoa; Chordata; Mammalia; Chiroptera; Pteropodidae. The record is from RNAcentral.